Molecule: long non-coding RNA, 2036 nt
Organism: Triticum urartu
Lineage: Eukaryota; Viridiplantae; Streptophyta; Magnoliopsida; Poales; Poaceae
Source: RefSeq, a predicted model, not a curated record
UCUGCUCUACCACGCAACAGAAGCAAACUCGCAGCACCCCUCCUCCUCGUCAGUCACCGCCUGGUCUUCUCGAUGGAGGUGGAGGAGUAGGGGAUCCCGCCGGAUCAGAGGCGUGCGGGCACCGUGGCGGGUGUCUCCGGCAGCGACGGCGACCUGCAGCUACGGCGGGUGCGCUCGAUUUAGUGCAGCGCCAUGGACCAGUCCCUGCAGAAGUGAGAGAAGAUGAGGGAGAGAGAGAAGGAAGGAGAGGAGCAUCGAUGGUGGUUCGAGCGCUGCCGCCUCCAUCCUCGCACCAUCUUCGUCACACGCAGCCGCCUCCUUCCGCACCCCUCUUCUUCGCGCAUGGCAACAGAGGCAAGUCCUGUCAGGGAAUAAUAUUAUUCAGUUAGCAUCUUUUUCGUGGAAGAGGAGUGAGAAUUUAAAGGUGCAUGCUACAUAGAAGCUUAGAUCUGUAAUCAAGCUGUGGAAGAGAAUACUGUAAGAGAUACUUCUAUAAGUAGAGACUUGUUGUUUUUCAUUCAGUUGAAGAGCUCUCCAUGCUUAAGAUCUUUUCUAGGAUAAUUGCGUCGUUAAAUAUGAAGUUCAGGAUUCGCUCAUGUGCCAAAGCCAGCUCGGGGAAGCCUUCCUGGACUCCUGGUUGACCACGACAAUCACGACACGGUGAGUGGAUUUUGAAUCUUUCUUGAGCCGUCGGAUCGGAUUAGAUGUGUAUAUGGUAGUUAUGGACUGCUAACUGCUUAAUGUUGUGUUUCCUCUGUGUACUAUGGUGUGAGCUUAAGCGAGCGGAACGCCGAAGGAGGAUCUUGGGGAUGACGGAGGCAUCGACGACAACCUCAAAGGCGAGAGUCCCCUCCUCCUUGGUUGCCGCUCUCGUCCUCUGACGAAGGACCAUGGGGCUUGCAGCUGUGCCUGAGCCCCCACAAGGACGUUGGGUGGAGGAUAUCCGGUGCCAACGGGCCGCUCAUGUCGGUGUCCGAGAUAUCGGAGCUGUCGGAGUCAACGGUCAUCGUCCGGAGACGGGUCGAUGGGGGAUGCUAUGAUGAAUUGGCCCGUGGAUAAGAAUAUUUUAGUCACUGGAGAGAUUGUUGAACAUGUGACAUUGAUGCAAAUCUCUGGCCACCUACGGGGGAAACUGCUUGAAAACCAAGUUUGAAUAUGUACGAGGGCAGUGAAUUUCGGCAUGCGAGUUUACUUGCAGUCUCUGACCCUAAUGUAAUCAGUCCCAGUAGUGAGGGAAAGGCACUGCCAACGAGGAUGUGGAGGAGAACAAGGUCGAGCCGGAUUGGUGAAGGGUGUUGAGGCUGGCUCUCUCUCCUCCUCGUCUUCGACAGUGUGAAGAAGAUCGAUGUUGAAAUGGAUGCAUGCUGCAGGAGAAGUAGAGGCGUCUUCUGAGCCUUGGGUUCUUCAUCGAUCUGUUUGUGCGUGCUCUUGGUCGCAUGCACGCCUAAGAGUCGAAUACUUAAGUGGUUGAGGAAAGCUUCACAUACAACAGUGGCAAACAUCUCCAUUGAUGCUACAAAGCAUCUCGAUGAUUUUGAAGAUCGAUGGAUGGGAGGUGGGACACGAUUUUGUGUGGACACCUCUGUAUGCUCCAAGACUUAACUCUGUUGAUUUAUGGCAUGGUGAUUGGUGAUUGAUUUUGAUUGCAUGGGAAUUCUGGGGAGAGCAGUGGAAAAGCUAUGGGGAACUUGUGUGUUAAUGACGCUAGCAGUGAGGGUUUCUUUUGAGCUUCUCUUCGCUUCUCCUUAAUAAUCGGACCUUCCUGCUAUGCUUAGUGAAUUUCGAUAUUUUGAUGAUGCAAGCAUUGUUGUUUCUAGUGGCUGCAAGGAUUUCCUUUGGGCACAUUUUCUUCUAGCUUAAUUAGUCAGGAUCGUUGAUUUUAUAAACAAUAUUCAGACUGUUCCUUGUAUUAGCAAAAAUCAGAUAAGAAUUGAAUUAUUGUACUUAAAGACAACCUGAAUGUCUUGUGCCAUGCAAAAGAGAUGCUCUGCAUUUCCUUUCACCUCCUGUUUGGCCAAAGCAACUACCUAUUGUGG